AUUGAACGCUGGCGGCAUGCCUUACACAUGCAAGUCGAACGGUAACGGGCCUUCGGGUGCCGACGAGUGGCGAACGGGUGAGUAAUACAUCGGAACGUGCCCGAUCGUGGGGGAUAACGAGGCGAGAGCUUUGCUAAUACCGCAUACGAUCUACGGAUGAAAGCAGGGGACCGCAAGGCCUUGCGCGGACGGAGCGGCCGAUGGCAGAUUAGGUAGUUGGUGGGAUAAAAGCUUACCAAGCCGACGAUCUGUAGCUGGUCUGAGAGGAUGAUCAGCCACACUGGGACUGAGACACGGCCCAGACUCCUACGGGAGGCAGCAGUGGGGAAUUUUGGACAAUGGGCGCAAGCCUGAUCCAGCCAUGCCGCGUGCAGGAUGAAGGCCUUCGGGUUGUAAACUGCUUUUGUACGGAACGAAAAGCCUUCUUUUAAUACAGGAGGGUCAUGACGGUACCGUAAGAAUAAGCACCGGCUAACUACGUG
Molecule: ribosomal RNA, 482 nt
Filed under: uncultured bacterium
Lineage: Bacteria
Description: partial 16S ribosomal RNA
Rfam family: Bacterial small subunit ribosomal RNA
Source: RNAcentral